RNAcentral lists this ribosomal RNA (432 nucleotides) under uncultured bacterium. RNAcentral's name for it is "partial 16S ribosomal RNA". It matches the Rfam family "Bacterial small subunit ribosomal RNA", at positions 29 to 506 of the family's 1533-position model. The record is from RNAcentral.
AACGAACGCUGGCGGCAUGCCUAACACAUGCAAGUCGAACGAGACCUUCGGGUCUAGUGGCGCACGGGUGCGUAACGCGUGGGAAUCUGCCCUUGGGUUCGGGAUAACAGUUGGAAACGACUGCUAAUACCGGAUGAUGACUUCGGUCCAAAGAUUUAUCGCCCAGGGAUGAGCCCGCGUCGGAUUAGCUAGUUGGUGAGGUAAGAGCUCACCAAGGCGACGAUCCGUAGCUGGUCUGAGAGGAUGAUCAGCCACACUGGGACUGAGACACGGCCCAGACUCCUACGGGAGGCAGCAGUGGGGAAUAUUGGACAAUGGGCGAAAGCCUGAUCCAGCAAUGCCGCGUGAGUGAUGAAGGCCUUAGGGUUGUAAAGCUCUUUUACCCGGGAUGAUAAUGACAGUACCGGGAGAAUAAGCCCCGGCUAACUCCGU